ACUGGGACUAAGGACUGGAGCCAGGGCUGGGGCCGGGGCUGGGACUAGGACGAGGGCUGGGAGUAGGGCCGGUACUGGGACUGGAGCUGCUGCUGCCCAGGCCUCCCCCAGGGCUGAGCCAAGGCGAGAAGGGGUCGGGAGGACUCUGAUGGGAAAGGAGCCGAUUGGAAACAGUGGGAUAAACCGGAGGAAUUGACAUCAGUCAGAAAGACGGGAAUUUUGUAAUGGGAAAUGAGACUGUCCGUGUGAAAGGAAGGAAUCAGAUGGUAAAUACAGUGUGGGAGCAGCAGCAUGGAAGAAAUUGGUUUGUAACACAUCAUAAAAUGAUCAGGAGUCCAAAAUAUGAUGUUCUGGGGAAAAAAGGUAUCUCUAAAGAUCAGAGCUCUGGCAAUGAAAAGGAAAAAAAUCCACAACCCCUCUUCCAAAGCUCCUGUAUGAUCAAAAGGGUGUGGAGAAUGCUGAAUGAACUAUUACCAUUACUGCCUUAUGUGCAGAGGAUGCUUCAUGCUGCCAACACGUCCUUACCUGGCUGUGCUGGGCAGACCCUGAGAGCAGGUGAGC
Long non-coding RNA from Chiroxiphia lanceolata (lance-tailed manakin), 561 nucleotides. RefSeq lists it as uncharacterized. The transcript is spliced from 3 exons. Lineage: Eukaryota; Metazoa; Chordata; Aves; Passeriformes; Pipridae. The record is from RefSeq and is a predicted model, not a curated record.